This 484-nucleotide ribosomal RNA is filed under the name uncultured bacterium. Its description in RNAcentral is "partial 16S ribosomal RNA". It matches the Rfam family "Bacterial small subunit ribosomal RNA", at positions 30 to 507 of the family's 1533-position model. The record is from RNAcentral.
AUUGAACGCUGGCGGCAGGCCUAACACAUGCAAGUCGAGCGGAUGAAGGGAGCUUGCUCCUGGAUUCAGCGGCGGACGGGUGAGUAAUGCCUAGGAAUCUGCCUGGUAGUGGGGGAUAACGUCCGGAAACGGGCGCUAAUACCGCAUACGUCCUGAGGGAGAAAGUGGGGGAUCUUCGGACCUUACGCUAUCAGAUGAGCCUAGGUCGGAUUAGCUAGUUGGGGGGGUAAAGGCCUACCAAGGCGACGAUCCGUAACUGGUCUGAUAGGAUGAUCAGUCACACUGGAACUGAGACACGGUCCCGACCUCUACGGGAGGCAGCAGUGGGGAAUAUUGGACAAUGGGCGAAAGCCUGAUCCAGCCAUGCCGCGUGUGUGAAGAAGGUCUUCGGAUUUUAAAGCACUUUAAGUUGGGAGGAAGGGCAGUAAGUUAAUACCUUGCUGUUUUGACGUUACCAAAAGAAAGAGCACCGGCUAACUUCGUG